GGAAAAGUUGCUUAAACCCUGUGGCUCAGCAAACUUCCUGUAAAGCAAAUCUAGAAGAGAAAACAACUGGUAGCAGCUGUGGCUGCUCUGCCCAGUUUCGUGUGUCUCAAAAUGUUGGAUCUUAACAGUCAAUUUCUGGAAGACAAAGAAGCUUCUGAAAUCGUUGGGUUUUAUGUAUCUUCCUUUUCUGCUGAUUUCAUUUGUUACAUUGACAGAAUUAUUUUGUUUCAAAUCCUUUUGGAAAUAGGAUUAAGUGACUUCAAUAGCUUAAAUACAAUUUUGAGAUACUGAGUAGCUGAAACUAAAAUGUGAAAUCAGGUAUUGCAAAACACAGUUUGUGAAGGACUUGAAUGAAGGACAUGCAUCCAUGUCCUUCUGAGAUGGAUGAGUGGAGCGAGAUGGAUGGCUGUCCUAAACUGUGGAAUCAAGUAUUCAGCACCUCUGAAAACUAAGAUGUUUGAUCUGAAAAAAAAUAAUCUCCCUUCAAAACCAUGUUUACGGGGAACAGAAAUAGGCUGAGGACUUGCAUUUUGGGAAGAGGGGAUUAUCGUGAUUCUUUCUUUUUCCCUAACUAUCCUUUGAGUUAGCAGCAUGGAAGAUCUCUUUCAUCUUUAGGAGACUCACAAGACUUCUCACAGCCUUUCUGGAGAAAUAAUCCUGCCUUUUCUGCUGAUGACUUUUUCAAGCUAUCAGAUUAAAGAAUGAAUGCACCCUUGCCACAAUAGUGUGUGUGUGUGGGGGGGAACUGCUGAAAGAAUGCACAUAGUUACAUAGUGUUCAUAACUUAAACUUCUUCCUUGGCCAUGCUACCAUCGCUAACUGACAUUGCCAGAGAUUUUGGAAUAUGGAUUUUUGUUAAUCUUAACGGGAAAGAACUUCUUCCUCUCUCUGCAUCUUGUAAUUUAGGUUUUCUUUUCAACCUGGAGGUGCCCAUCCUUCCCUCAGGGAAAGGGAUAACAUCUGCAGCCAAACUGAUUAUUCAGCAGUGUAUACAUCUGCUGCAUCUCAGAUGGUUCUCAUUUACUGUAUCUCUGGAUGACGACAGCCUGUUGGAAGUAGGUGAGUUGAAGGAGAGAACAUCAAGUAUAUGAAACAACACUUCCAAGCAGGGAAGAUGCUACUUCAGGAUAAAUAAAUAUUCAG
Molecule: long non-coding RNA, 1143 nt
Organism: Rhea pennata
Lineage: Eukaryota; Metazoa; Chordata; Aves; Rheiformes; Rheidae
Exons: 3
Source: RefSeq, a predicted model, not a curated record